RNA transcript from Papaver somniferum (opium poppy), 2485 nucleotides. It is a transcript of the gene named plasma membrane ATPase 2-like, with no coding region annotated. The record is from RefSeq and is a predicted model, not a curated record. The transcript is spliced from 3 exons. Lineage: Eukaryota; Viridiplantae; Streptophyta; Magnoliopsida; Ranunculales; Papaveraceae.
GCGCCAUUUUUUUUCUCUACCUAAUGGCGUUGAAAUACCUGAAACCUAAUAAUCACAAUACCUUCUCCUUCAACUCCAUCUUUCAUAAAUGUAAAUCAAUGGCAGAAUUCAAACAAACCCAUGCUCGUCUCAUCGUAAAUGGUUUACCUUAUCCUCAACCAUCUCUUCGACUAGUUAUUUCAUUCUCUGCACUUCAUCCUACUGGCGAUAUCGAUUACGCGCUUCUACUCCUUCUCCGAACCCCUGUACAACCAACAAAUUUUCUCUUCAAUACUGUGAUUCGUGGGCUUGCGCGGUCGGUUCGUUCUGAUGCUGUCUCUAAUUCUGUUGCACUACUUCGUAGAAUGGGUGAAUAUGAUUUAUCUCCCAAUAAUUUUACUUAUACUUUUCUUUUCCAGUGUUGUGCGAAGUUUGUUGGUUUUGAUUUAGGUUUGCAGUUUCAUGUUGGGGUGAUUAAGAGGUGUUUUCAUUUUGAUGUGUGUGUCUGUAAUUCAAUGAUUCAGUUCUAUUCAGUUUGCGGUAAAUUAGAUGAUGCCAAGAAAGUAUUUGAUGAAUGUACUCAAAGAGAUAUUGUAACGUGGAACUCAUUGAUUAGUGGGUAUUUAAGAAAUGGAGAUAUUUUAGAAGCACUGGGUGUUUUUGAAAAAAUGCCUGAAAGAAAUGAGGUUUCUUGGAAUAGUUUGAUGGGUGGUCUUGUUCGAGCAAGUUAUUUAGAUGAGGCGCGACGUCUUUUUGAUGAGAUGACGAAAAGGAAUGUUGUUAGCUGGGCUGUGAUGAUAUCUGGGUAUUGUCAAAAUGGUUAUCCAAGAGAAGCUCUGGCCUUGUUUAGGGAGAUGCAGUCAUUGGAUUUGGAACCGAAUUUUGCAGUUUUGGUGAGUGUUCUUUCUGCUUGUGCACAAUUAGGAGCUUCUGAUCAUGGGAGUUGGGUUCAUUCCUACAUUAAGAAGAACAAUGUAAAGAUGGAUUCGAUACUUUCUGCAGCUUUGAUUGAUAUGUAUGCGAAAUGUGGUAAUAUUAGUCUGGCUAUGCAAGUAUUUGAUUCUUCAGAGGAGAAAAAUAUAUCCACUUACACAGCUGCAAUAUCAGGGUUGGCGUACAAUGGGUAUAAUGAAGAAUCAAUUCGGAUUUUUGAGAAAAUGAAGAGUGCAAGAAUCACACCAGAUCAUAUUUCCUAUCUAGCAGUAUUAUGUUCUUGUAGCCACAUGGGUUCAGUUGAAAAAGGUUUUCAUUACUUCAAUUCAAUGGUUGAGGUUCAUGGCAUCAAACCGGAGCUGGAUCAUUAUACAUGCAUGGUUGAUCUUCUUGGUCGUGCAGGUUUGUUGGAAGAAGCUGAAAGAUUCAUAAAUACCAUGCCAAUAACUCCAGAUAAUGUCAUAUGGGGUGCCCUUCUCAGUGCAUGCAGGACUCACAGCAAUGCCGAAAUGGGAGAAAGAGUUGGGAAUUACUUACUUGAAUCUGAUCCAGGACAUGAUGGGCGUUAUGUUCUCCUUUCAAACAUUUAUGCAGUGUCAAUUAAAGGAGACUGUGUAGAAGAAAUUCAGAGAACUAUGAGAAGGAGAAGAAUUAAACGUGUUCCUGGGUGCAGUUCAAUUGAGGUUGAUGGCAUUGUUUAUGAAUUUGUUGCCGGAGACAAGUCCCAUGAUAAGACAGGUAAAAUUUACUCAGUGUUGGAGGAGAUGGUUACAGAGAUAAAGAAACUUGGAUAUGCACCAGAGACAAAGGGGGUUGUGUUUGAUGUUGAAGAAGAGGAAAAAGAAACUGUAGUUGGUUAUCACAGUGAAAAAUUGGCUGUUGCAUUUGGGUUUAUUAGCAAAGAACCAGGCUCAGUUCUUCGCAUCGUGAAGAAUAUUCGUAUUUGUAGUGACUGCCAUUCUGCAAUUAAACUUGUUUCUAAGGUUUUUAAACGGAAGAUUGUGGUUAGAGAUCGUAGACGCUUUCAUCACUUUGAAGAUGGAUUUUGUUCUUGUAAUGAUUACUGGUAAGCAAUACCUAUUUAAAAUUGUGCAUUGAUUACUCUUUCUUGAAAGCCGAAAAAAAAAUAUUCUUUGGAGGGUAACCUAUGGAAUGGGUCCAGUUAGGUCUUUGGAGGAGACCAAAUCAAAAUGUUGUGUAAGAGGAACCACAACCUUUAUGGAAAAUAUGUGCUCUGCUAUAGAGUCUCCUGCAAUGUCAAUCAUCGAAGUUUAACGUGAAGCAGCAUGACUAUCAGAAGAAGGUACAACGUAUCGACAAGAAAUCAAGUCUGCCCGAAAAACUGUAAAGCAUAUACUCUAAAGGAAGUAUACACUGAUUAUGGGAAGGCCAGAAACCUUGCUUAAGAAGAAGUCGAGAAACGCUCUCUAUUGAGGCAGAUAUGGUUGAGUGGCUCCUCUCUUUGCCAUGAUCUGGAAUCAUAAGAGAUGUUCCCUAUUAAUUGCUCUCUAUUGAGGCAGAGAUGGUUGAGUUGCUCCUCGCCUUGCCAUGAUCUGGAAUUAUAAGAGAUGUU